GUGAGGGAAAGGUGAAAAGAACCCCUGGCGGGGAGUGAAAGAGAACCUGAAACCGUAUGUCUACAAACAGUCGAAGUCUGUAUAUAUAUCAGGACGACGGCGUGCCUAUUGAAGAAUGAACCGACGAGUUACUGUUGCUAGCGAGGUUAAGUGGAAAACACGGAGCCGCAGCGAAAGCGAGUCUGAACAGGGCGUUCAGUUAG
This 203-nucleotide ribosomal RNA is filed under the name Eucampia antarctica. RNAcentral's name for it is "partial Bacterial large subunit ribosomal RNA". It matches the Rfam family "Bacterial large subunit ribosomal RNA", at positions 503 to 703 of the family's 2925-position model. Lineage: Eukaryota; Bacillariophyta; Thalassiosirophyceae; Eucampiales; Eucampiaceae. The record is from RNAcentral.